GGUUCAUGGACUACUCCAGGGCCAGCCAUGUGGCCGACGACAACGGUCAGAGGGCAUUUGCACUGGUGAACAAGGCGACGGGACAAGCUUUGGUAAACAAGGACAAGAAACGCGCCGACGGUUGUGUCCAGGUCCAACUAGCACCAUACAACGAUGAUGGAUAUGUGGACAUCUCGAUGUUCUGGACCAUGCUCGAGGAGGUGUAUGGCCAGGGAUUUCACCAAAUAGCAACAAUGAGGGACAGUUCUUUGGUCAUCGACGGGCUAAAGGGCAAUUGCAAGGAGGGAACAAUCGUUGGGGUUGAUCCUUCACAUUGGACGUAUAUGGCUAAAGUAAAUGAUAACCAGCUCUGGAAGAUCCUCCCGGUCAGCGGCAGUGGGACCACCACCGUUCCUAUGUAGCUCGGUCAUUAUAGGUUCUUGGAGGCUGACCGGAUGGAAAGACCUUCCCCAAAUAAAAAUGGAUUUGUUGUUUUCUUUUCACAAUAAUAAAUUGUCGUUACCCGUGUGCUUC
Molecule: long non-coding RNA, 513 nt
Organism: Panicum virgatum (switchgrass)
Lineage: Eukaryota; Viridiplantae; Streptophyta; Magnoliopsida; Poales; Poaceae
Exons: 2
Source: RefSeq, a predicted model, not a curated record